Long non-coding RNA from Planococcus citri (citrus mealybug), 334 nucleotides. RefSeq lists it as uncharacterized. Lineage: Eukaryota; Metazoa; Arthropoda; Insecta; Hemiptera; Pseudococcidae. The transcript is spliced from 2 exons. The record is from RefSeq and is a predicted model, not a curated record.
AGAAAAAUCCAAACGACCCAGCUGCACUUAUUUACCAUUUGGAGCGGGGCCAAGGUAUUGUAUAGGGUCCAAUUUCGGGAAAACGAUGGUGAAAGUUGGUUUGAUUUACGCUUUAAAAAAUUAUUCCUAUCGGGUAUCGCCAGAAAUGAAGUUUCCAUUGGAAUUCAAUAAAAAUCUCGGUUUAUUGACACCGCGUAACGAUAUUCUAUUGCAACGAGUAAACAUUUAAUAAAUAAUCGUGUACCUAGUCUAUGUUGACAAUUGAAUGAGUACAUAAAUUAAUCAUUUUUAGGUUUAAAACGUUCUAAUGUAAUAAAUAAAUGUAUGAAACGUU